AUGUUUUCCUCGCAGUCGCUGUCUAGGGUAAACAACAUCCGCAUCGCGCUCUCUCAUGCUCAGAAGGGAACGCAGUCCGUGGCGACGUACUUCGCAUAUAUGCGGUCGCUCGCGGACGAACUUGCUGCUGCGGGCAAGCCUCUUCAAGACGGCGAGCUAGUCUCCUACAUCCGCGCCGGCCUCGACAUGGAGUACCUGCCCCUCGUCUCCGCCCUCGACGCGCGCACACAGCCGGUCACCAUCGACGAGCUCUUCUCCCAGAUGAGCAACUUCGACCAGCGUGUUGUGCUCUUCCAGGGGAACGGCGGCUUCAAGUCGUCGGCCAAUGCUGCCACUCGCGGCCGUGGUGGUGGCGGCGGCGGCGGAUCACGCUACCGCGGCCCACCGCGGAAGGGAAAAACCAGCAACGGCGGCAACUUCAACAGCAACCCCCGCGGCCCCGGCAACAACAACGGCAGUGGGCGGCCCUCCUACACCAACUCCAAGGGCCGUCGCAACUCCCCCAAGUCACGCCCUGACACCAUUCGGUGUCAAAUCUGUUGA
Molecule: ribosomal RNA, 543 nt
Filed under: Triticum aestivum (bread wheat)
Lineage: Eukaryota; Viridiplantae; Streptophyta; Magnoliopsida; Poales; Poaceae
Description: partial small subunit ribosomal RNA
Source: RNAcentral